RNAcentral lists this long non-coding RNA (646 nucleotides) under Homo sapiens (human). RNAcentral describes it as "non-protein coding lnc-ARPC5-1:1". The record is from RNAcentral. Lineage: Eukaryota; Metazoa; Chordata; Mammalia; Primates; Hominidae.
GGGUCUGGAUUGGGACCACUUUCCGAUAACAAUUUUAUUUUUAUGACUGCAUAAUAAUUCUAUUAUAUAAAUAAAUGUACCAUAAUUUACUUAACCAUUUCCCUAUUGAUUUAGGUGGUUUCUGAUCUUUUGCAGUUACAAACAGUGCUACAGUGAAUAGCAUUAUACACAAGUCAUUUUACAUAUGUUCAAGCCUAUUUGUAGAUCAAUUCCUAAAAGUGAAAGUUAAGGUCAGUUGGAGGGCAUUUAAGGGAGAUAUUGCUAAAUUGCCUUUCUUAAAGGUUUUAUCAAUUAUACUUUCUCCAGCCGUGUAGAAGAAUGCAUGUUUUCCCACCCCUUUACCUAUUCUAUGUGUUUGUCAUAAAACAUUUUUUAAUCUUUUCAAAUCUGAUGUUUUAAAAAUGGUAUCAUAUAUUUGCAUUUCUCUUAAUGUAAAUGAGAUUGCACAUCUUUUCACAUGCCUAAUAGCCAGUUGUAUUUUCUUUUCUAUAUUUUUGUAUUUCUAUAUUUUCUUUGCCCUUUUGAUGGUCUUUUUCUUACUGAUUUGUAGGAGCUCUUUUCAACAGGAAUGUCAAAUAUUUCUUGCAUUUUGAGUUUCGCUUUAUAAUAGCUUUUACUAUAAAUAAAAAGGUUAUUUUUAUUUUUA